RNAcentral lists this ribosomal RNA (737 nucleotides) under uncultured Staphylococcus sp. RNAcentral's name for it is "bacterial SSU rRNA". It matches the Rfam family "Bacterial small subunit ribosomal RNA", at positions 60 to 780 of the family's 1533-position model. The record is from RNAcentral. Lineage: Bacteria; Bacillati; Bacillota; Bacilli; Caryophanales; Staphylococcaceae.
AGUCGAGCGAACAGACGAGAGCUUGCUCCUCUGACGUUAGCGGCGGACGGGUGAGUAACACGUGGAUAACCUACCUAUAAGACUGGGAUAACUUCGGGAAACCGGAGCUAAUACCGGAUAAUAUAUUGAACCGCAUGGUUCAAUAGUGAAAGACGGUUUUGCUGUCACUUAUAGAUGGAUCCGCGCCGCAUUAGCUAGUUGGUAAGGUAACGGCUUACCAAGGCAACGAUGCGUAGCCGACCUGAGAGGGUGAUCGGCCACACUGGAACUGAGACACGGUCCAGACUCCUACGGGAGGCAGCAGUAGGGAAUCUUCCGCAAUGGGCGAAAGCCUGACGGAGCAACGCCGCGUGAGUGAUGAAGGUCUUCGGAUCGUAAAACUCUGUUAUUAGGGAAGAACAAAUGUGUAAGUAACUAUGCACGUCUUGACGGUACCUAAUCAGAAAGCCACGGCUAACUACGUGCCAGCAGCCGCGGUAAUACGUAGGUGGCAAGCGUUAUCCGGAAUUAUUGGGCGUAAAGCGCGCGUAGGCGGUUUUUUAAGUCUGAUGUGAAAGCCCACGGCUCAACCGUGGAGGGUCAUUGGAAACUGGAAAACUUGAGUGCAGAAGAGGAAAGUGGAAUUCCAUGUGUAGCGGUGAAAUGCGCAGAGAUAUGGAGGAACACCAGUGGCGAAGGCGACUUUCUGGUCUGUAACUGACGCUGAUGUGCGAAAGCGUGGGGAUCAAACAGGAUUA